AUACGUAGGGGGCAAGCGUUAUCCGGAAUCAUUGGGCGUAAAGGGUGCGUAGGCGGCCCUAUGGGUCAGAGGUUAAAGGCUACGGCUCAACCGUAGUAAGCCUUUGAAACUGUAGGGCUUGAGUGCAGGAGAGGAGAGUGGAAUUCCUAGUGUAGCGGUGAAAUGCGUAGAUAUUAGGAGGAACACCGGUGGCGAAGGCGACUCUCUGGACUGUAACUGACGCUGAGGCACGAAAGCGUGGGUAGCGAACAGGAUUAGAUACCCUGGUAGUCCACGCCGUAAACGAUGAGUGCUAGGUGUUGGGGGUCAAACCUCGGUGCCGCAGUUAACGCAUUAAGCACUCCGCCUGGGGAGUACGUACGCAAGUAUGAA
This 372-nucleotide ribosomal RNA is filed under the name uncultured bacterium. RNAcentral describes it as "bacterial SSU rRNA". It matches the Rfam family "Bacterial small subunit ribosomal RNA", at positions 523 to 898 of the family's 1533-position model. The record is from RNAcentral.